Molecule: ribosomal RNA, 468 nt
Filed under: uncultured bacterium
Lineage: Bacteria
Description: partial 16S ribosomal RNA
Rfam family: Bacterial small subunit ribosomal RNA
Source: RNAcentral
GACGAACGCUGGCGGCGUGCUUAACACAUGCAAGUCGAACGGAAAGGCCCUGCUUUUGUGGGGUGCUCGAGUGGCGAACGGGUGAGUAACACGUGAGUAACCUGCCCUUGACUUUGGGAUAACUUCAGGAAACUGGGGCUAAUACCGGAUAUGAGCUCCUGCUGCAUGUUGGGGGUUGGAAAGUUUCGGCGGUUGGGGAUGGACUCGCGGCUUAUCAGCUUGUUGGUGGGGUAGUGGCUUACCCAGGCUUUGACGGGUAGCCGGCCUGAGAGGGUGACCGGCCACAUUGGGACUGAGAAACGGCCCAGACUCAUACGGGAGGCAGCAGUGGGGAAUAUUGCACAAUGGGCGGAAGCCUGAUGCAGCAACGCCGCGUGCGGGAUGACGGCCUUCGGGUUGUAAACCGCUUUCGCCUGUGACGAAGCGUGAGUGACGGUAAUGGGUAAAGAAGCACCGGCUAACUACGUG